Cygnus atratus (black swan) is the source of this 1771-nucleotide RNA transcript. It is a transcript of the gene named mitochondrial genome maintenance exonuclease 1, with no coding region annotated. The transcript has 7 exons. The record is from RefSeq and is a predicted model, not a curated record. NCBI's taxonomy places the organism in Eukaryota, Metazoa, Chordata, Aves, Anseriformes, Anatidae.
AUCCAAGAUGGCGGCGCUUUUCUUAUUUUCCCUUCGCUUUUAAACGUUUUGGGAGCCCUUUAAAUGAAAAGGAUAAAACCUCGAGAAGGGAAGAAAUCCUAUUUCAACGGUUUUUAGGGGCUUUAGCGCCCCCCACACGCAUGGGGGGUGCAGAACUACAAAUCCCGAGAGGCAGCGGGGCGCCGGCACAUGCGCGGUGUGUGCGGUGUUGCUGCCGCACGUGUGCGGCCGAGCGGGCAGUGCGGCCCUGAGGUACCGGCGCCCCCCGAGGGGGCGUCCCGACGGUUAUUUUAUUUCGGUUCAAGUCUGCAGUCUGGCUCAUCGCACGGUACUUGAAACAAUUCUACCAGCACCAACGGUUUGAGGGAGAAGGGAGACGCUUCCCCUGAGAGAAAUAUCCAUCAAAUUCCAGUCUGUCUGUGCAAGAGCAAAUCCAGGCCGCCCCAGACCCUUUGCUUUCUUGUAAAUGGGCAGAUUUUGGUAUCCUACAGACUGCUCCUAACAAAAGGAAGAGAACUGUAACUAGUCACAAAUGCUUCUUGUCAGAAUGAAUUUCCUACAGCUACUGUCCAGGAAACCCGAGAGACUGGAAAUGGUUUUUCGACUACGAUAUUGCAAAAAGCAGUUCCCAUACAUGUGUCUGGCUACCUCUGCUUGUCUUUAUAGCAAAAAGAAAAAAGCGAACGGUUAUGAACAAGUUGAUCAAGAAAAAUACAACAGCUUGGUCUAUUCUGUUACAUCUUACAAAGCCAGUGCCCAAACACCAGAGACGAUACUUGAAGAAGACGGUUUGUUAUGUGGACAACCACUUAAACACGCACCUCCAAAUGAAGCUGAAACAAACGCUCCCAAGAACUGGGUUCCUCUCAUAAACCCCAACAAGAGAGCUCCACUUCUUGACAGCGAUUCCAGCCUUCCCAUGAAAAUUGCUUUACAAAAAACAAAAAUACCCAGUGUUACCCGUAUCCUUCAACAGACCAUCCCUCCGCAGCAAGCCUUUUACCUAGAAAGGUGGAAGCAGAAAAUGAUACUGGAACUUGGGAAGGAUGGUUUUGCAGAGUAUACUAAAAAUCUUUUCAUCCAAGGAGAGCUCUUCCAUGCAGCUUUGGAAUCUAUGUUUUUACCUGAAGACUUGGCAACUAAGGAGCAGGGAGAAGACGCUGCUAUUUCUGGCUACUUAACAAGCGUGCAACAUGUCUUAAAAGAUAUCAGUGAAGUCAAAGUUCUGGAAAGCGCAGUUCAGCAUGAAACUCUUCAGUAUCUGGGCCUGGUAGACUGCGUGGCUAAGUAUCGAGGCCAGUUGUGUGUGAUUGACUGGAAGACAUCAGAGAAACUGAAGCCGUCUCUGAAGAAUACUUUUGACAACCCACUGCAGGUUGCAGCAUAUGUUGGAGCCAUAAAUCACGAUGCCAAUUACGACUUCCAGGUGAUGGAGCACUGACACAGGCUGCCCAGAGGUUGUGGAAUCUCCCUCCUUGGAGAUCUUCAAAACCACCUGGACGUGGUCCUGGGCACCCUGCUCCGGGUGUCCCUGCUCGAGCAGAGGGUUGGACCAGCUGGCCUGCGGAGGUCUCUUCCCACCUCAGCUGUUCUUUGAGUCUGUGAUAUGUCAGUUGUGGACUCAUAGUGGUUGCCUAUAAGAACGGUUGCCCCGCACAUCCGCAUUUCAUGGAUCCAGACCUGUGCUCACAGUACUGGAAUAAGUGGCUUCUGCGCCUCGAGGAAUACAUGGACAGAAACUGACCCAAACUAAGCUAUACAAGUGGUCAAG